UACGUAGGGUGCAAGCGUUAAUCGGAAUUACUGGGCGUAAAGCGUGCGCAGGCGGUUUUGUAAGUCUGAUGUGAAAUCCCCGGGCUCAACCUGGGAAUUGCAUUGGAGACUGCAAGGCUAGAAUCUGGCAGAGGGGGGUAGAAUUCCACGAGUAGCAGUGAAAUGCGUAGAGAUGUGGAGGAACACCGAUGGCGAGGGCAGCCCCCUGGGUCAAGAUUGACGCUCAUGCACGAAAGCGUGGGGAGCAAACAGG
Molecule: ribosomal RNA, 253 nt
Filed under: uncultured bacterium
Lineage: Bacteria
Description: partial 16S ribosomal RNA
Rfam family: Bacterial small subunit ribosomal RNA
Source: RNAcentral